Molecule: ribosomal RNA, 435 nt
Filed under: uncultured bacterium
Lineage: Bacteria
Description: partial 16S ribosomal RNA
Rfam family: Bacterial small subunit ribosomal RNA
Source: RNAcentral
AGCGAACGCUGGCGGCAGGCUUAACACAUGCAAGUCGAGCGGGCACUUUCGGGUGUCAGCGGCGGACGGGUGCGUAACGCGUGGUAACGUGCCCUCUGGUUCGGAAUAACUCAGGGAAACUUGAGCUAAUACCGGAUACGCCCUUUUGGGGAAAGGCUUGCUGCCGGAGGAUCGGCCCGCGUCUGAUUAGCUAGUUGGUGAGGUAACGGCUCACCAAGGCGACGAUCAGUAGCUGGUCUGAGAGGAUGAUCAGCCACACUGGGACUGAGACACGGCCCAGACUCCUACGGGAGGCAGCAGUGGGGAAUAUUGGACAAUGGGCGCAAGCCUGAUCCAGCCAUGCCGCGUGAGUGAUGAAGGCCUUAGGGUUGUAAAGCUCUUUUAUCCGGGACGAUAAUGACGGUACCGGAGGAAUAAGCCCCGGCUAACUUCGUG